This 827-nucleotide ribosomal RNA is filed under the name Pseudomonas sp. RNAcentral's name for it is "bacterial SSU rRNA". It matches the Rfam family "Bacterial small subunit ribosomal RNA", at positions 54 to 876 of the family's 1533-position model. Lineage: Bacteria; Pseudomonadati; Pseudomonadota; Gammaproteobacteria; Pseudomonadales; Pseudomonadaceae. The record is from RNAcentral.
CAUGCAAGUCGAGCGGAUGAGAGGAGCUUGCUCCUUGAUUUAGCGGCGGACGGGUGAGUAAUGCCUAGGAAUCUGCCUGGUAGUGGGGGAUAACGUUCCGAAAGGAACGCUAAUACCGCAUACGUCCUACGGGAGAAAGCAGGGGACCUUCGGGCCUUGCGCUAUCAGAUGAGCCUAGGUCGGAUUAGCUAGUUGGUGAGGUAAUGGCUCACCAAGGCGACGAUCCGUAACUGGUCUGAGAGGAUGAUCAGUCACACUGGAACUGAGACACGGUCCAGACUCCUACGGGAGGCAGCAGUGGGGAAUAUUGGACAAUGGGCGAAAGCCUGAUCCAGCCAUGCCGCGUGUGUGAAGAAGGUCUUCGGAUUGUAAAGCACUUUAAGUUGGGAGGAAGGGCAUUAACCUAAUACGUUAGUGUUUUGACGUUACCGACAGAAUAAGCACCGGCUAACUUCGUGCCAGCAGCCGCGGUAAUACGAAGGGUGCAAGCGUUAAUCGGAAUUACUGGGCGUAAAGCGCGCGUAGGUGGUUCGUUAAGUUGGAUGUGAAAGCCCCGGGCUCAACCUGGGAACUGCAUCCAAAACUGGCGAGCUAGAGUACGGUAGAGGGUGGUGGAAUUUCCUGUGUAGCGGUGAAAUGCGUAGAUAUAGGAAGGAACACCAGUGGCGAAGGCGACCACCUGGACUGAUACUGACACUGAGGUGCGAAAGCGUGGGGAGCAAACAGGAUUAGAUACCCUGGUAGUCCACGCCGUAAACGAUGUCAACUAGCCGUUGGGUUCCUUGAGAACUUAGUGGCGCAGCUAACGCAUUAAGUUGACCGCCUGG